Molecule: ribosomal RNA, 468 nt
Filed under: uncultured bacterium
Lineage: Bacteria
Description: partial 16S ribosomal RNA
Rfam family: Bacterial small subunit ribosomal RNA
Source: RNAcentral
GACGAACGCUGGCGGCGUGCUUAACACAUGCAAGUCGAACGGAAAGGCCCUGCUUUUGUGGGGUGCUCGAGUGGCGAACGGGUGCGUAACACGUGAGUAACCUGCCCUUGACUUUGGGAUAACUUCAGGAAACUGGGGCUAAUACCGGAUAGGAGCUCCUGCUGCAUGGUGGGGGUUGGAAAGUUUCGGCGGUUGGGGAUGGACUCGCGGCUUAUCAGCUUGUUGGUGGGGUAGUGGCUUACCAAGGCUUUGACGGGUAGCCGGCCUGAGAGGGUGACCGGCCACAUUGGGACUGAGAUACGGCCCAGACUCCUACGGGAGGCAGCAGUGGGGAAUAGUGCACAAUGGGCGGAAGCCUGAUGCAGCAACGCCGCGUGCGGGAUGACGGCCUUCGGGGUGUAAACCGCUUUCGCCUGUGACGAAGCGUGAGUGACGGUAAUGGGUAAAGAAGCACCGGCUAACUACGUG